This is a long non-coding RNA of Cimex lectularius (bed bug), 751 nucleotides long. RefSeq lists it as uncharacterized. The record is from RefSeq and is a predicted model, not a curated record. NCBI's taxonomy places the organism in Eukaryota, Metazoa, Arthropoda, Insecta, Hemiptera, Cimicidae. The transcript has 2 exons.
CAAAACAGAGAAUUCCCAAUGAAUUAAUGUUCAAUUGAAAGGCAGCAAACAGUUUUUCAUUGUGUUUGUUUACGUCUGAUAGUGACUAACUGCUAAAAUCCUUUGAUACUACCUAUUGGUUUGAUACAUAACAAAACAUUUGAAUCUACAAAAGAGUUAGCCAAAUCCAUUUAACAAUUGUGCAAAUGCUUUAGUAGUAGUCUGGUGUCUCAAAACAUUCAAUGGUCUGACGGAAGAAUAUACAUAUUUAUGUAUUGUUUUAAUUUUUAUCAAGAGUGGAAGUCGAUUCGGUAUUGAAUAACUCACAGCCCACGCAUAAAUAAUACAUCGUUCUUGUCACUGACAAUCCUAACAGACAGUUUUUUGUUUUUUUUACAAGAUGGAUGAACAAUAACUGGAAUUAGAAGUAUUGACCACUUUUUCACUUACAGUGGAAACCCAUUUAUCCAAACCCGCCGUCAAAUCAAUCUCUAUCCACAUGAUUGAAGAAGCCGGAGAGGCCUCGUCACGUUUUUGUUAAAAUAAAAUAAAAAAUAAAAAAAUGUAUCCUAUUUUAAAAGAUUAGAAAUUGCUGUGUCGUAUUGUUUGUAUGUUGGCUUCCAUCAAAAAGGCUGUUUUUUUUAUUACAUAUAGUUUUAUUAGCUAUUUUUAUGUAUAAAUUUUUUGCAAGACAAGUGUCUGAACUUAGUUAAUAUAAGACUAGUACUUCAACUGUAAUUUGAUAUAUAAAUACUAGUGUACACUUUCGUGU